Erpetoichthys calabaricus (reedfish) is the source of this 645-nucleotide long non-coding RNA. RefSeq lists it as uncharacterized. NCBI's taxonomy places the organism in Eukaryota, Metazoa, Chordata, Cladistia, Polypteriformes, Polypteridae. The record is from RefSeq and is a predicted model, not a curated record. The transcript is spliced from 2 exons.
UGAGGGACGGAACGGUCCCCUCCGACUACACAUGGAGUUCAAAUUACUCCUGAAAGAGAUUUACGUUUGUUUGAAGUAUUUGAAUAAAGUUCCUGUCUCUACAAUCUCCUGUGUGUUUCUGUGCAACUCUGUGACCCAAGCGUGACAAUUUAUUAAUUAUGUUUGCUCCUCCCAAUGACUUGCAUAUCAAAUUAAAUUGGCAAUUCUAACGAUUCCAUAUUGGUCUAGUGUGUAUACAUGCGUGCACCAUGUGACUGAUUUUCCAAGGCCAGUUGCUGAUGUUCAUUUCUUGUUCUUGUUCCUGAAAAAGGUUUUGGCUCCCUAUGACCCUCUUCAUGGUCAGUUCAAACAAUUAAUAAAUGGGUAGAUGAGUAACACUGUAAUGUGAACUUUUUGAGUAGCUAAAAUAUAUCUUUAAAAGAAAAAUCACAUAGCUAGAUGUUUAUAACAAUGUCAAAAAUGUUUUCUCUUCAUUUUUUAGGGAAAUAUGGAUUAUAUAAAAAGGUCUGCAUUUUACGAGCGAGCAAAAAAAGCAGCUGCUGUUGUAGCCACUGGAGAGAUGUCGCUGUACGGCAGCCUGAUUAUAAGGAAAGGUGUGAUUGCUGUUGAAGACCAGAAGUGAUAAAGAGGCAAAGGAAUUCUAAU